Molecule: microRNA, 22 nt
Filed under: Gadus morhua (Atlantic cod)
Lineage: Eukaryota; Metazoa; Chordata; Actinopteri; Gadiformes; Gadidae
Description: gmo-miR-1-2-5p
Gene: gmo-miR-1-2-5p
Source: miRBase by way of RNAcentral
CAUACUUCUUUAUGUGCCCAUA